AGAGUUUGAUCCUGGCUCAGAACAAACGCUGGCGGCGUGCCUAACACAUGCAAGUCGUACGAGAAAGGGUCCUUCGGGACCUGAGUAAAGUGGCGCACGGGUGAGUAACGCGUGGAUAAUCUACCCCUCAGUUGGGAAUAACUCAUCGAAAGGUGGGCUAAUACCGAAUAACACUGCAAGACCUUGGUCGAACAGUCAAAGAGAGCCUCUGCUUGCAAGCCCUCGCUGAAGGAUGAGUCCGCGUACCAUUAGCUAGUUGGUAGGGUAAUGGCCUACCAAGGCGACGAUGGUUAGCUGGUCCGAGAGGAUGAUCAGCCACACUGGAACUGAGAUACGG
RNAcentral lists this ribosomal RNA (337 nucleotides) under uncultured bacterium. RNAcentral's name for it is "bacterial SSU rRNA". It matches the Rfam family "Bacterial small subunit ribosomal RNA", at positions 8 to 329 of the family's 1533-position model. The record is from RNAcentral.